Molecule: ribosomal RNA, 253 nt
Filed under: uncultured bacterium
Lineage: Bacteria
Description: partial 16S ribosomal RNA
Rfam family: Bacterial small subunit ribosomal RNA
Source: RNAcentral
UACGUAGGGUGCGAGCGUUAAUCGGAAUUACUGGGCGUAAAGCGUGCGCAGGCGGUCUGUUAAGACAGAUGUGAAAUCCCCGGGCUUAACCUGGGAACUGCAUUUGUGACUGGCAGGCUAGAGUAUGGCAGAGGGGGGUAGAAUUCCACGUGUAGCAGUGAAAUGCGUAGAGAUGUGGAGGAAUACCGAUGGCGAAGGCAGCCCCCUGGGCCAAUACUGACGCUCAUGCAUGAAAGCGUGGGGAGCAAACAGG